Molecule: ribosomal RNA, 253 nt
Filed under: uncultured bacterium
Lineage: Bacteria
Description: partial 16S ribosomal RNA
Rfam family: Bacterial small subunit ribosomal RNA
Source: RNAcentral
UACGUAGGGUGCGAGCGUUGUCCGGAAUUACUGGGCGUAAAGAGCUCGUAGGUGGUUUGUCGCGUUGUUCGUGAAAACUCACAACUCAAUUGUGGGCGUGCGGGCGAUACGGGCAGACUGGAGUACUGCAGGGGAGACCGGAAUUCCUGGUGUAGCGGUGGAAUGCGCAGAUAUCAGGAGGAACACCGGUGGCGAAGGCGGGUCUCUGGGCAGUAACUGACGCUGAGGAGCGAAAGCGUGGGGAGCGAACAGG